GAGACAAGUUGGCCAAAUGCUGACCGGUGAAGCUGAGUGAUGGGUGCAAUCAUUACGUGAUUUUGUUUCCUCUUUAUGUUUACAUCUUCCCAUAGGAAAAAGUUAAUUCAAACAACGUGGUCUGAAGAGUCAGACUGGCCUGUCGGCUCCAGUUUAUGUCAUGUGAACUUCCAUCUCUCCGAACCCCUUUGCUCACAUUUUAAAUGAAUCCACAAUAAUAGUACCCGAUUCAGAGGGCUCUCAUGAUGGCCAUAUGUGAAAGUGGUCAUCCACGCAUGCCACAUGGCAAAUGCACGGAAGAGGAGACCGGUCAGCACUGCGGGGCGGACAGCACCCUGGCCACGCCCUCGCCUGGCUGGCCACUGCCCACACUUCCUGGGUCUUCCUGCGCAAUGAUGGAUCUGAGCCCCAGCCACCACCCUCCUUUAGGUGACCAUUCUUCAAGGGCUUGGAACCUGACCUAAAGGACCAGGGCUUGGCAUAUGGUGCCUCAGCAGGCAAGCAUGAGGUAGGCAGGACCCCUCUCACCACCAG
RNAcentral lists this long non-coding RNA (534 nucleotides) under Cavia porcellus (domestic guinea pig). RNAcentral's name for it is "lncRNA (ENSCPOG00000039710.1)". The record is from RNAcentral. Lineage: Eukaryota; Metazoa; Chordata; Mammalia; Rodentia; Caviidae.